UUUAAGGGACGUUGUUUUGCGGAACUGGGGAAUCACCCUGCAAUGCAUCCCCAGGCCGGGAGCUGUUUUUCUGGUCCAGUGGACUGCUGGUAGUCGUAUCUGCUGAGAAGAGACAGCGCCGCCUGGAGGAGCUCCGGGGCGGGCGGGCGCCUCGUGAGACCGGAAGGGGGCCACGAGUUGCACAAGAUUGCUGUGCUGCAAUGUGCUAUGAUUUACUUUUCUCUAACAAACAAGAGAAGAAUUACAGGACUUUGAGAGCUGAGAUGGAGGAAGAAACCAGGAAAAAAUGGAAAUGCUUAUACUUCUUCAUUUUGACAUGGUUCCUUCAGAAAUCUGAUACUAAGUAUCUUUCUGCAUCUGGAGGAGGGAAGAAAGAGACCAUCCAGGCAUUCUGUACAUAAUGUUGAAAUAAAACCCUCUAUUGUCCACCAAGACAAUAGGGCUAGUCUAUAAUAAUGUAGUACAAGUAGGGCAUAAAUGACAUAAGCCAGCAAUGCAAUCUUUGUUCUGGUGUAAUCUUCCAUAUCAAC
Molecule: long non-coding RNA, 530 nt
Filed under: Heterocephalus glaber (naked mole-rat)
Lineage: Eukaryota; Metazoa; Chordata; Mammalia; Rodentia; Bathyergidae
Description: lncRNA (ENSHGLG00100047032.1)
Source: RNAcentral